UAUCCAACGCCCCUGACUAGUAACUUGACACACGUAUGUAGAUUUCAUUCAGGUGUCUCCCUUGAGGCGUGGCAGACACGGUAUGAAAUUUCAACCUCUGCCCUGGCAUAGCUUUACAUGGUUAUGUAUACGGAUAGCUUGCCAUUUUUGAUAAGAUACUAACGUAAAUGAGAGUUCUGUUGAAUAAGGCAGAGGAAUAAUAAAAAGAGAGAUAAGAUGUGGAAGUUGAAGAUAGCAGAAGGAGGAGAAGGGUUGAUAUCGGUGAACAAUUUCGUGGGGCGUCAACAUUGGGUAUUUGAUCCAAAUGCAGGAACCCCACAAGAACACGCUGAGAUUGAAAGGUUACGCCAGGAAUUCACAAAAAACCGAUUUUCUAUUAAACAAAGCGCCGACCUCUUCAUGAGAAUGCAACUCACAAAGGAGAACCAGCGGGGCCCCAUUCCAGCGGCAGUGAAAAUGGGAGACUCAGAGUCUGUGACGACGGAAGCAUUGAUUGCUACAAUCGGAAGGGCUAUCAGUUUCUAUUCAUCAAUUCAAGCACAUGAUGGCCAUUGGCCUGCCGACUCAGCUGGCCCAUUGUUUUUUCUUCAACCUCUGGUAAUGGCACUAUAUAUUACAAAAUCCCUUGAUGUUGUUCUUGGACCUGAACACAAGAAGGAAAUUGUUCGGUAUUUGUAUAAUCAUCAGAAUGAAGAUGGCGGUUGGGGAUUCCAUAUAGAGGGUCAUAGCACAAUGUUUGGAUCAGCAUUGAGCUAUAUUGCCUUGAGGGUACUUGGAGAAGGGCCUGAAGAUGGUGAGGACAGGGCAAUGGCCAAAGCCAGAAAGUGGAUCCUCGACCAUGGUGGUUUAGUGGCUAUACCAUCAUGGGGAAAGUUCUGGGUCACGGUACUUGGUGUUUAUGAGUGGUCUGGCUGUAAUCCACUUCCACCUGAGUUCUGGCUUCUACCCAGAUGCACCCCUAUUCAUCCAGGGAAAAUGUUGUGCUACUGUCGAUUGGUUUACAUGCCUAUGUCGUAUUUAUAUGGGAAGAAGUUCGUGGGCCGCAUCUCUGGUUUAAUCAGAUCACUGAGAGAAGAACUGUACAACGAGCCUUAUGAUCAAAUCAACUGGAAUAAAGCCCGGAACACUGUUGCUAAGGAGGAUCUCUAUUAUCCACAUCCUAUGAUCCAAGAUAUGUUAUGGGGAUUUCUUCAUCAUGUGGGAGAGCGUUUUCUGAAUUGCUGGCCCUUUUCUAUGCUUAGACGGAAGGCAUUAGAAAUCGCAAUCAAUCAUAUACGUUACGAGGAUGAGACCAGUAGAUACCUUUGCAUUGGAAGUGUAGAGAAGGUGUUAUGUUUGCUUGCACGUUGGGUUGAAGACCCCAACUCAGAUGCAUACCAACUUCAUUUAGCUCGAAUCCCUGAUUACUUCUGGCUUGCAGAAGAUGGCUUGAAAAUCCAGAGUUUUGGAUCCCAGAUGUGGGAUGCAGCAUUUGCUAUACAGGCGAUUCUUUCUUGUAGUGUGAGUGAAGAGUAUGGGCCAACACUUAAGAAAGCACACGACUUCGUGAAGGCUUCGCAGGUCCUUGAAAACCCUUCUGGUGACUUCAAAGCAAUGUACAGACACAUAUCAAAAGGAUCAUGGACUUUCUCAAUGCACGAUCAUGGUUGGCAAGUCUCUGACUGCACCGCAGAAGGACUCAAGGCUGCACUCCUAUUGUCAGAAAUGCCAACUGAUCUAGUUGGGGAAAAGAUGGAAACUCAGCGAUUCUAUGAUGCUGUUAAUGUCAUCCUCUCUCUACAAAGCAGUAAUGGGGGUUUUGCUGCUUGGGAACCUCAAAGAGCCUAUCAUUGGUUAGAGAAAUUCAACCCAACUGAAUUCUUUGAGGACACUCUCAUUGAGAUGGAGUAUGUGGAGUGCACUGGAUCAGCACUGCAAGCCUUGUCUCUCUUCAGAAAGCUAUACCCAAAGCACAGAAGAAAGGAAAUAGAUCACAGUAUUUCCAAAGCAAUCCGUUUCAUUGAAAACACUCAAAAUCCCGAUGGCUCCUGGUAUUGUGUAUUUUUUCUCUUCUACUUUACUAUUGACUUAAUGUUAUGCACUACGCUCUAAUCUACAGCACAAUUAUUGGUUCUAGCUUUACCAUUCAAAUUAAUGUGAAUUUUUCUAUGACACACUAGAUAACUUGCAACUGCUACAGUUAUGGUAUCUAUAAUAGGCAUGUCUUAACUUUUAUUUAACUUGUCAUAGCUAUAUAUUUGGUUUAGAAAAAGACCAAGUUCAUCAUUUACUAUAGAUAAGCACUUAAAACAGGUACGGUUGUUGGGGUAUUUGCUAUACCUAUGGUACCUGGUUUGCUGUAGAGGGACUAAGAGCCUGUGGAAAGAACUACCAUAACAGUCCUUCCCUACGCAAAGCUUGUAAAUUUUUGUUGUCAAAACAGCUUCCUAACGGUGGGUGGGGAGAGAGUUACUUGUCAAGCCAAAACAAGGUUUAUACAAAUCUAGAAGAUAACCGUGCAAACUUAGUUCAGAGUUCAUGGGCUUUGCUGUCCCUUAUUGCUGCAGGGCAGGCUGAGAUAGAUCCAACACCCAUACACCGUGGAAUAAAGUUACUAAUCAAUUCACAAAUGGAAGAUGGAGACUUCCCACAGCAGGAGAUCACAGGUGCAUUUAUGAGGAAUUGUACCCUUAACUACUCAUCGUAUCGAAACAUCUUUCCCAUAUGGGCUCUGGGAGAUUAUCGUCACCGAGUGUGUGAACAAGGACCGAAUGCCUCAAUUUGACUUCCAUCAAUUUAAAUGCUUGGUUGUAAACUACAUAUCAACUCAAAGAUGUGUAGUUCAAUUUCUAUUUCUAUGAAUUCUAUAUUUGCCUACAAAAUGUAAAAUAUUUUAUUUAAAAAUAUCCAGUGUAAUUGUGAAACAAUUCGUCUUUCCUCAAGAACCUGAAGCAUAAUAUAUAAAAUUAUUCAAUUUCAAG
Molecule: RNA transcript, 2960 nt
Organism: Abrus precatorius (Indian licorice)
Lineage: Eukaryota; Viridiplantae; Streptophyta; Magnoliopsida; Fabales; Fabaceae
Gene name: lupeol synthase
Exons: 19
Source: RefSeq, a predicted model, not a curated record